GAUGAACGCUGGCGGCGUGCCUAAUACAUGCAAGUCGAGCGAACAGAUAAGGAGCUUGCUCCUUUGACGUUAGCGGCGGACGGGUGAGUAACACGUGGGUAACCUACCUAUAAGACUGGGAUAACUUCGGGAAACCGGAGCUAAUACCGGAUAACAUUUGGAACCGCAUGGUUCUAAAGUGAAGGAUGGUUUUGCUAUCACUUAUAGAUGGACCCGCGCCGUAUUAGCUAGUUGGUAAGGUAACGGCUUACCAAGGCGACGAUACGUAGCCGACCUGAGAGGGUGAUCGGCCACACUGGAACUGAGACACGGUCCAGACUCCUACGGGAGGCAGCAGUAGGGAAUCUUCCGCAAUGGGCGAAAGCCUGACGGAGCAACGCCGCGUGAGUGAUGAAGGGUUUCGGCUCGUAAAACUCUGUUAUUAGGGAAGAACAAAUGUGUAAGUAACUGUGCACGUCUUGACGGUACCUAAUCAGAAAGCCACGGCUAACUACGUG
Molecule: ribosomal RNA, 497 nt
Filed under: uncultured bacterium
Lineage: Bacteria
Description: partial 16S ribosomal RNA
Rfam family: Bacterial small subunit ribosomal RNA
Source: RNAcentral